UCUCAUUUUGAUAGUGGUCUUUGGAAAAUUGGCAUCAAUGUUGCUUACUUGCUUGGAUAGUAUUCCUCAAUAUUUUGUGUGUAGAUGUGUUGGCUAAUGGCUAUCGAUGUCCUUUUCAGUUUUGUGAGAUCGUUUUGUUUGUUAAACGUGUUGAAAAACAUGUCAUAAAGCUGCUACACCCUUUUGUUCUAAGCGUGUGUAUAUGUAUUAAUUAUUACAUUUCAUUGUAGAAUCAUAAUCGGCUACAAAUCUACUAGUAGUUUGGUAAUCAUUCAUUUGGUAUUUGGUAGAGACAAUGAUUUGCAGAGCAUUUACCUUAUUUAAAACUAGUGGUCGCUGAAGUCUAGUACCUAACUCCCCCAAGGCCAAAAUAUCACAAUCAAAUAUAGAAUUUAUCAAUAUUGAUUAAAAAUAUGUUCUGCCUGACAUAGUUGUGGAAUAAAACAAAACCAAUCUCCAUUCAUUAUUUUGAAAAAAAAAUCAAACAUAUAUCAAAUAGGAUCUACCGUUAAUCCACCAAUUUAGUGAAUAUUUUAAAGUUUUACUAAAU
Molecule: long non-coding RNA, 550 nt
Filed under: Brassica napus (rape)
Lineage: Eukaryota; Viridiplantae; Streptophyta; Magnoliopsida; Brassicales; Brassicaceae
Description: long non-coding RNA (BNAP_LNC027210)
Source: RNAcentral